UACGUAGGGAGCAAGCGUUGUCCGGAAUCAUUGGGCGUAAAGCGCGCGUAGGUGGCUUCGUAAGUCCGUUGUGAAAGUCAAAGGCUCAACCUUUGAAUGCCGAUGGAUACUGCGGAGCUAGAGUACGGAAGAGGCGAGUGGAAUUCCUGGUGUAGCGGUGGAAUGCGCAGAUAUCAGGAGGAACACCGGUGGCGAAGGCGGGUCUCUGGGCCGAUACUGACGCUGAGGAGCGAAAGCGUGGGGAGCGAACAGG
This 253-nucleotide ribosomal RNA is filed under the name uncultured bacterium. RNAcentral describes it as "partial 16S ribosomal RNA". It matches the Rfam family "Bacterial small subunit ribosomal RNA", at positions 524 to 776 of the family's 1533-position model. The record is from RNAcentral.